RNA transcript from Alligator sinensis (Chinese alligator), 702 nucleotides. It is a transcript of the gene named signal peptidase complex subunit 1, with no coding region annotated. The record is from RefSeq and is a predicted model, not a curated record. Lineage: Eukaryota; Metazoa; Chordata; Crocodylia; Alligatoridae. The transcript is spliced from 6 exons.
CGGCUUGGAGCGGCAGUGCCCGGGUUGUAGCUUCUGCCUCCGGGUGGAGGCUGACGGGAAAUGGGGCGGGGCCGGACCUCACUGCUUCCGGCCAGCUCAGCGCCCGCCCUCCGGAGCAGGAUUCGCGGCGCCGCGGCUGUACUGACGCGGAGCGGGCGGUUUUCGGCGUCGGCCGCUCCCGACGCUUCGCGACCCUCCAGCUCUCAGGCCGGGGCUUCCGCCUCCGCAUCCCCCUUCCCCCCGCAGGCCGGAUCUGAGCGGGACGGGCCCAGCGGCAGUGCUGUGGACGAGGCGCGUGUCGCUGCCGCCAUGCCGGACUUGCUGCGCUCCGGCCCCACGCAAAUGGACUACAAGGGUCAAAAACUAGCAGAACAGAUUUUUCAAGGAAUCAUUCUCGUCUCUGCAGUAAGUAUAGUGGAACCAUGGCAGCAAACUCCUUGUCUUGUGUAUAACUGUAAACUGCAUCAGACUGCUGGAGGGCCUGGUGGCAAAGUGGUGGGGCUGCCCAUGAUGGGGAUAGCUCCUGUAAAAUACCACAAUGUUGCAACCUCCAGAGAAAGGUAAUUGGCUUUAUCUAUGGUUACAUCACUGAACAAUUUGGUUGGACUGUUUACAUAGUUAUGGUUGGAUUUGCUUUAUCUUGUCUGUUAACACUUCCUCCAUGGCCUAUGUAUCGUCGCAGUCCUCUAAAAUGGCUACCUG